This is a long non-coding RNA of Oreochromis aureus, 981 nucleotides long. NCBI's taxonomy places the organism in Eukaryota, Metazoa, Chordata, Actinopteri, Cichliformes, Cichlidae. The record is from Ensembl.
GUUGAGUCUGAAUGUUGGAUGUUGUGUAUCUCGUGUUCUCUGGGCUUUGUUGUCCUCAGUCUUUUGCAGGAUCAGAAAACAAAACCAGGAUGACCAUAAAUGUUUCUUCUCCAAUUGGAUGAUGAUAAGACUGUGACACGGGAUGCCACCUUUAGUCUUGUGAUGAAGCAAAGCUCAGGAAGAAGUGUGAUUAAAUGGUACCCACAUGUGUGCUGCUGAGAAGGAUGUACAGGGGCACCUGCAGCCAAAUCCAAGCCUCCUCAGCAACUUCAGGUCUGUCAGCAUGCUGAGGUCACAGAAACAAGAAAAGAAGCUUGACACUUCAGAGUGUUGUUUACAGUUUUCUGACAUCAUGAUCUCCCCUGAAGUUUAUCACUAUUAGGCAAGCAAGCAGAGCAGCAGUUUGUGCUCACAGAUGGUGACGGUGUGGAGAGACGGUGGUGUUUCCUCAGAAGAACUAGCAGAGUCACAAAGGGCACGAGUCCAUCUCACCACCUUGACUUGUUGAUCAACGAUCAGAGUCAUCCUUAAAUAUGGGCAGGAUAUCACUAUUGGACUGUCUAACCUGCAGGAGCAGCACUGAAUGACCACCACACAUGAUCAGUUCCUGCAACAUUCAGCAGCUCUGCUUUUGUGUCAAAUGUCGAACAGCUGGAGAGGAAACUACACCAGUGUACUGGGAUGUUUCACCAACACGUGCCAGACGCUGUUCCUUCAUGGUGACAUCACCAGAGACGGCCCCGCCCACCUCAGGACCUCGCCAUUGAUCAUGAUGAUUUUAAUGAUGACAGCGAGCGGAACUAAGACUGUAAAAAUCAGAAUGUUUAGAUGCUUUCUAAUUAUUCAUGAAUACUGAGAGCCUCUUUCUGUGUUUUGUCUGUUUUGUUUUUUACCUCAUUUGUUACUAACAAAGUUCACCAAACUCACACAGUUUACAUUCUGUAUGUUUCCAUCUUUACCAGCCACAGUCUACCCGCAAUU